Molecule: ribosomal RNA, 1361 nt
Filed under: Clostridium sp. C4
Lineage: Bacteria; Bacillati; Bacillota; Clostridia; Eubacteriales; Clostridiaceae
Description: 16S ribosomal RNA
Rfam family: Bacterial small subunit ribosomal RNA
Source: RNAcentral
UAGCGGCGGACGGGUGAGUAACGCGUGGGCAACCUGCCUUGCACAGGGGGAUAACACAGGGAAACUUGUGCUAAUACCGCAUAACAUCACGGGGAGGCAUCUUCCUGUGAUCAAAGGAGAAAUCCGGUGCAAGAUGGGCCCGCGUCCGAUUAGCUAGUUGGCGGUGUAACGGACCACCAAGGCGACGAUCGGUAGCCGAACUGAGAGGUUGAUCGGCCACAUUGGGACUGAGACACGGCCCAGACUCCUACGGGAGGCAGCAGUGGGGAAUAUUGCGCAAUGGAGGAAACUCUGACGCAGCAACGCCGCGUGAAGGAUGAAGGUCUUCGGAUUGUAAACUUCUUUGAUGAGGGACGAAGGAAGUGACGGUACCUCAAAAACAAGCCACGGCUAACUACGUGCCAGCAGCCGCGGUAAUACGUAGGUGGCGAGCGUUGUCCGGAAUUACUGGGUGUAAAGGGCGCGUAGGCGGGGAUGUAAGUCAGAUGUGAAAUACCAUGGCUCAACCGUGGGGCUGCAUCUGAAACUAUGUUUCUUGAGUGCUGGAGAGGAAAGCGGAAUUCCUAGUGUAGCGGUGAAAUGCGUAGAUAUUAGGAGGAACACCAGUGGCGAAAGCGGCUUUCUGGACAGUAACUGACGCUGAGGCGCGAAAGCGUGGGGAGCGAACAGGAUUAGAUACCCUGGUAGUCCACGCCGUAAACGAUGGAUACUAGGUGUAGGAGGUAUCGACCCCUUCUGUGCCGGAGUAAACACAAUAAGUAUCCCACCUGGGGAGUACGGCCGCAAGGUUGAAACUCAAAGGAAUUGACGGGGGCCCGCACAAGCAGUGGAGUAUGUGGUUUAAUUCGAAGCAACGCGAAGAACCUUACCAGGGCUUGACAUACAGAGGGAUAUGUCAGAGAUGGCAUAGCUCUUCGGAGCCUCUGUACAGGUGGUGCAUGGUUGUCGUCAGCUCGUGUCGUGAGAUGUUGGGUUAAGUCCCGCAACGAGCGCAACCCUUGUUGUUAGUUGGUAACACGUAAAGGUGACCACUCUAACGAGACUGCCGGUGACAAAUCGGAGGAAGGUGGGGACGACGUCAAAUCAUCAUGCCCCUUAUGUCCUGGGCUACACACGUACUACAAUGGCUACAACAAAGGGAAGUGAAGCCGUAAGGCGGAGCAAAUCCCCAAAAGUAGUCCCAGUUCGGAUUGUGGGCUGCAACCCGCCCACAUGAAGUCGGAAUUGCUAGUAAUGGCAGGUCAGCAUACUGCCGUGAAUACGUUCCCGGGCCUUGUACACACCGCCCGUCACACCAUGAGAGUCAGCAACACCCGAAGUCAGUAGCUUAACCGCAAGGAGGGCGCUGCCGAAGGUGGGGC